UAGACUUAGUGAGGUGUAUCGGGC
This 24-nucleotide non-coding RNA is filed under the name Arabidopsis thaliana (thale cress). Lineage: Eukaryota; Viridiplantae; Streptophyta; Magnoliopsida; Brassicales; Brassicaceae. The record is from RNAcentral.